UAACACAUGCAAGUCGAGCGAGAAGGAAGCAAUUCCUGUAAAGCGGCGCACGGGUGAGUAACACGUAGGUAAUCUACCUCGAAGUGGUGGAUAACCUUCCGAAAGGAGGGCUAAUACAGCAUGAGACCACGGUUUCGAAAGAGAUUGAGGUCAAAGCGGGCCACUAUACAUAAGCUCGCGCUUCGAGAUGAGCCUGCGGCCCAUCAUGGUAGUUGGUAGGGUAAUGGCCUACCAAGCCGAAGACGGGUAGCUGGUCUGAGAGGAUGAUCAGCCACACUGGAACUGAGACACGGUCCAGACUCCUACGGGAGGCAGCAGUGGGGAAUCUUGCGCAAUGGGCGAAAGCCUGACGCAGCGACGCCGCGUGAGUGAUGAAGGCCUUCGGGUUGUAAAGCUCUGUGGAGGGGGACGAAUAAGGGUUGGCUAACAUCCAGCUCGAUGACGGUACCCCCUUUAGCAAGCACCGGCUAACUCUGUGCCAGCAGCCGCGGUAAGACAGAGGGUGC
RNAcentral lists this ribosomal RNA (506 nucleotides) under uncultured bacterium. RNAcentral's name for it is "bacterial SSU rRNA". It matches the Rfam family "Bacterial small subunit ribosomal RNA", at positions 49 to 535 of the family's 1533-position model. The record is from RNAcentral.